Molecule: ribosomal RNA, 254 nt
Filed under: uncultured bacterium
Lineage: Bacteria
Description: partial 16S ribosomal RNA
Rfam family: Bacterial small subunit ribosomal RNA
Source: RNAcentral
CACGUAGGGGGCGAGCGUUGUCCGGAUUUAUUGGGCGUAAAGGGCUCGUAGGCGGCUCAGUAAGUCGGGUGUGAAACCUCCAGGCUCAACCUGGAGACGCCACUCGAUACUGCUGUGGCUAGAGUCCGGUAGGGGAGCAUGGAAUUCCUGGUGUAGCGGUGAAAUGCGCAGAUAUCAGGAGGAACACCAGUGGCGAAGGCGGUGCUCUGGGCCGGAACUGACGCUGAUGAGCGAAAGCUAGGGGAGCGAACUGG